This 670-nucleotide long non-coding RNA is filed under the name Vigna radiata. RNAcentral describes it as "long non-coding RNA (VRAD_LNC008870)". Lineage: Eukaryota; Viridiplantae; Streptophyta; Magnoliopsida; Fabales; Fabaceae. The record is from RNAcentral.
AAUUCAUUUUACUACAUUAUAAUUUUUUUAAUAAUUAAAAAUUAAUUUCAAUUAUUAUUAAAAAAUUCCCUCUCUUUAUAAAUAUUUUUUACAUUUAAAUAUAACAUUAAAAAAUAAUAUUUUAUAUUACUUUAAUAACUAGGGACAUUUUGGUAAUCUUUAAUUUUUACCAAUUAAACUAAUUUUUUAAAUCUGUCACAUCAAUCAAAUCCUACACUAAUUCUCACAAACUUUAUCCUCAAAUCCACUCUCAAUUACCCACAAAUCCACUCAAAAAAACAACAAAAAAAUUACCCUCAAAUCCACUCAAAUUCAUUCAAAUCAUCUCCCCCAGAUCAUCUCCCUCAAAUCUAUCCAAAGGAACAAAGCAUUAGUGACUAGAUGUCUCACUCAAUGAGUCAAGCAUCGAAACAAAAUACAAAAUGUUCAGUGAGAGCAGAUUCACCUAUGACCCCUCCUUCCCUAACUAUCUUCCAAAUUCAACUUUUCCUUUUGCUCAGCGAGAGUCUACUCACCCAACGAGCAUACCUUCCCUGAAUCUUUGCAAAACUCAAAUUCAACACUCCUCCAAUAAGCUGUAUAAUGAAGACACAUAAAUAUGCAUAACUAGUAACACCCUUAACUCAAAUAGAAGUUUUCCUUCUCUACAAAAGUCAUAAACAAAAUCAAU